Neopsephotus bourkii (Bourke's parrot) is the source of this 2587-nucleotide long non-coding RNA. RefSeq lists it as uncharacterized. The transcript has 2 exons. NCBI's taxonomy places the organism in Eukaryota, Metazoa, Chordata, Aves, Psittaciformes, Psittacidae. The record is from RefSeq and is a predicted model, not a curated record.
AGCUGCGGCUGCCCCACCCCUGGCAGUGCUCAAGGCCAGGUUGGAUGGGGCUUGGAGCAAGCUGCUCCAGUGGAAGGUGUCCCUGCCCGUGGCAGGGGUUUGGAACUGGAUGAGCUUUAAGGUCCUUCCCAACCCAAACCAUUCAUGAUUUGGAGAGGAUGAGACUACAAAGCAAGGUCCACCUCGUGCCCCCUCUCCCCAGUAAACAAGGAAUGGUCGGUGGACAAGACACAUCACCAAACUCUGAGCAGGUGGUGUGACUUUGACUGAAGCUCUAGCUCUAGUGGUAUUUUGGCUCCUUCACCCAGAAGGCUUUAAAUUCUCUGUGCCUCUAAGAUCAAGGAGAUGGUGAACCUGUGCUUCACGCUGGCUCCCCGAGGAGCGGGUGGAGAGGGGUGGUGGUGGUGGGGACGAUAAUCCUAGUCAACUCUUGCAGUAUUGGAUCACUGUAUGCCAUUAAAAAACAGCUUGUUCUAGGUCUAAUGUCUUCUGCAAAUGGAUAUCUGUGAAGGCCUCUGGCCCCUUCCAGCCCUGCCUGAAAGAAAUGCCUGCAAUGAAAUGGUUUCUGAUAAGAUGGUAUCUGCAGUUGGGUGGGUUCGAAACUGUGGAAAUGCGACAUUGUAAACAUGGAUUUGGCUGCUAGAGAGGGCAGAUGAUUAAAUGCAAGUACUAAGGCUGUUGCUGGGGUGGGGGAAUGUGAAAGGAGGGAAAAGCCGAAUAUAUAAAGGAGAUUGGAUUGCAGUUUCUGGGUCAACAGUAGUGAAGACAACUGAGUGCUGCUAGUGCUGCUAUUGUGAUAUUCUUGUAAAACCUAAACCAAAGAGUAUUCAGUGACACAGAGAGUGCAUGGAAAUGCAAUGUGGAAGGGAUGGAAAAGGGAGACUGACCAGGAGAAAAGGGUCCUAUUCUCCAGAUCAGGAUCCCUUAGGUGCACAAUGUUCCCACUAAAUGAUACUUGAGAUAUUUGAGGGAUGGGAAAUGCAGGAUCCAACUCGUUUCUUUAAAGCAAAAGAAAUUCAGAGAAAAAAAGAAGUGAAAAUCCCCUCCCCUUACCAUUUGUGGUGCAGAGGUUUGGGGCUUGGUGGGGGUGGUUCUUCAUUUUGUUUUGUUUUUCAAGUCAGUUUUUCAGAACUAUUUUUAAAAUGUACAUUUUAUAAAGUUUAUCAAGUAUUUUCAUAUUUAAAGCCAAAUGUAAAUAGAAGUCUGUAAAGGAGGACAAGGAGAAGAAGAAAAAGAAGAGGCCACACAAAGUAUAAAUCCUGCUCGGCAGUCUCAGCUAGCUAGUACCUAGAUGCUACCGGUUAGCAUGAGUUUUAGCAAAUACUUGCAAGCCUUAUAGGAUUCCUAAUGCUAUGGACUUCUCUUUAUUUAUUUUUUAAGCAUGGACUUCAUUUGAAAACCUGUUCUAGUUACUGGCAUUUUUCAAGAGUUACCAGCUUUCCGAGUGCUCGACUUGUCGAGGGCGUGCAUUGAGGUAAAUCCACUGCACUCUCUGCCACCUUCUUUUUGUUCUAUUUUCUUUCAUAACCCUUUGUCUUUGCCGACUGAAUCUUAACAUUGCAGAAUUGCACUCAGCCUCUGGCUCCGGGAAGCUGCUAGAAAGAGACCUGCAAUGUACACUCCAUGGUACCCUUUCCCCUUUGGCCAUCGGUUCUGUAUUUCUCAACACCGGUAAGCCCAGUGUAGGACAGACUGUUGUAGCACAGUUCCACAGCAGCAAAUUGGGUUAGUCCUUUAAAAGUACUGUUAUUUGUAAGGACUACACAGUGACUGACAGCGUUUCCUGGUGAGCCUGGGCCAAGCUGAUGCUUCAUUAGGGGCCCUUCAGAUGGACUGAGCUCUACCCACAGACUCCAACCCGCAUUGGUUCGGCCUCUUUAUCAAGGAUAAAGUUGGCUGAAGCGGCUCGCACAGAAGGUUUAUGCUGUAUUUCGCUUAGGGGCUGGGGGAAAUAUGUUAUUUCUGCCCUUCCCUGAAAAUACUUGAAUGAGACACAUUGUCUAAAACAAAAUCCUGUGUGCAGUGCAGUGACAAAAGCAUUUCUGAGGCAGGUGGGGAUGGAUCUCCUCCUUCCUCUGUCCCUUCCGUGCGAGGUGUCCUUGGUUAAGCAGCAAGGGUAGAAAGCAUCACUUACUCACUGUGUUUAAGGAUAUUCUCUCCCAGCCACGAUAAACUUCUGUGUUGUUAGUUCAGCACUCGCUCUUCUCGGAAAAGACAAAGGGUCCAGAUACUUCAUUUGUUCUCUUAGGUCUUCUUUUUCAUGAUGGAUUACAAGGUAAAACUGAAAAGUACUGUAAUGUCUUUAAAUUAUGGCUGCUCAUGACCAUUGUACAGCAGAAGGGUGCUGCGUAGUUGCCAUCCCACAGCCAAUGAGAAACUGAUUUUGUAAAGACUUUUGGCCUGCAGCUAUUGUAAGGUGAACAAUCUAGGCAUCUGACAGUUGUCCAUAACUAUUUUCCUGUUUGCAGCCUUUUUGUAUCAAAGUCUUCCUAAUGUACUGCACAAAUUGUGGAUUGUACAGAUUUUUAUAUAUUAUGUCUUAUUUUAUUAUUUCUAAAUAAAUAAAAAAAAAAUGAGAAUGAAUUGA